CGAUAACGAACGAGACUCUAGCCUACUAAAUAGUUUGCGAGAUUCACGCAUCUCGUAUUAACUUCUUAGAGGGACAAGUGGCAUUUAGCCACACGAGAUUGAGCAAUAACAGGUCUGUGAUGCCCUUAGAUGUUCAGGGCCGCACGCGCGCUACACUGAAAGCAUCAACGUGCGUACUUUUCCUGCUCGGAGACGAGUGGGUAACCCGUUGAACCGCUUUCGUGCUAGGGAUUGGAGUCUGCAAUUGUCUCCAUGAACGAGGAAUUCCCAGUAAGCGCGAGUCAUCAGCUCGCGUUGAUUACGUCCCUGCCCUUUGUACACACCGCCCGUCGCUACUACCGAUUGAAUGUUUUAGUGAGUCCAUUGGACUGAACCCGACCUGGWGUCUUCGGAUGUCGGGACGGUGUUUGGGAAGCUGGGCAAACUUGAGCAUUUAGAGGAAGUAAAAAUCGUAACAAGGUUUCCGUA
RNAcentral lists this ribosomal RNA (468 nucleotides) under Dinophilus taeniatus. RNAcentral describes it as "SSU rRNA". It matches the Rfam family "Eukaryotic small subunit ribosomal RNA", at positions 1337 to 1827 of the family's 1831-position model. Lineage: Eukaryota; Metazoa; Annelida; Polychaeta; Dinophilidae. The record is from RNAcentral.